UACGUAGGGUGCAAGCGUUAAUCGGAAUUACUGGGCGUAAAGCGUGCGCAGGCGGUUAUGCAAGACAGAUGUGAAAUCCCUCGGCUUAACCGGGGAACUGCGUCCGAUACUGGAUGGCUCGAGUUUGGGAGAGGGAUGCGGAAUUCCAGGUGUAGCGGUGAAAUGCGUAGAUAUCUGGAGGAAUACCGGUGGCGAAGGCGGCAUCCUGGACCGGCAUUGACGCUGAUGAGCGAAAGCUAGGGGAGCAAACGGG
Molecule: ribosomal RNA, 253 nt
Filed under: uncultured bacterium
Lineage: Bacteria
Description: partial 16S ribosomal RNA
Rfam family: Bacterial small subunit ribosomal RNA
Source: RNAcentral